This 459-nucleotide unclassified non-coding RNA is filed under the name Hevea brasiliensis (rubber tree). The record is from RNAcentral. Lineage: Eukaryota; Viridiplantae; Streptophyta; Magnoliopsida; Malpighiales; Euphorbiaceae.
AAAAAACCCUAGAAAUCUCUGCAAUGGCACCAAAGAGAAAGGCAACUGCAGGGGAGCCAUUGCCAACUCGUAUAACUCGAAGCCAAACCAAGAAUGACAACUCGAAACCCGUUUCAGUUGACCCGGUUUCACCAAAACCAAAACGGGUCAAAAAGGGUACCGUUUCUGAGACGAAAUCUAAAGUGAAGGCUCCAGUUGAUUCCGGGUCGAAGAAGAUUGUUGUUGUUGAGCACUGUACCGAGUGCAGGCAGUUCAAGAUUCGGGCUGUGAAGGUGAAGGAGGAGCUGGAACAUGGGGUACCCGGUUUGGAGGUUCGGGUCAACCCGGAAAAGCCAAGGAGGGGUUGUUUUGAAAUCCGGGUCGAUGAUGAAAAGGGUGAGAAGUUUGUUAGCCUUUUGGAUAUGAAGAGGCCAUUUGGACCCAUGAAGGCACUUAAUAUGGACAAGGUCAUUUCUGAAA